Molecule: unclassified non-coding RNA, 651 nt
Filed under: Hevea brasiliensis (rubber tree)
Lineage: Eukaryota; Viridiplantae; Streptophyta; Magnoliopsida; Malpighiales; Euphorbiaceae
Source: RNAcentral
AUCAUGUACAACUCAUCUACCCUUCAUUUCCAAACCUCAAAAGUCUCCAUCUUUUUUCCCCAAAUUAAGUUCUCAGUUUCUGGGCAUCCAAAAUAAGGUUGGUUGGGUAAGACACUGCAGAAUUGGACCCUCCAAUGGGUCAAGAGUAAAGUGCUGGUUCAAGUUUGGUAAAAGUGGUGUUGAUGCUGAAGGAGCUGGCAUUUAUGGCAGCCAAUCCCGUGAUGACUUUGAUAGAGAUGAUGUUGAGCAGUACUUUAACUACAUGGGGAUGCUUGCUGUUGAAGGUUCAUAUGACAAGAUGGAGGCUCUCCUAAGUCAAAAUAUUCAUCCAGUAGACAUCUUAUUGAUGUUGGCUGCUUCAGAAGGUGACAAGCCAAAAAUUGAAGAGUUGUUAAGAGCUGGAGCAAGUUACACUGUCAAGGAUACAGAUGGACGGACCGCACUUGAUAGAGCCAACGAAGAAAUUAGGGAAUUCAUCCUUCAGUUUUCAGUUCAAAUGGCAUGAUUAUUUUUAGAUAAAUGUACCAAUCCAUUUGCCUGUAUUGUGCUUUAUAGUUGUUGCUUCUCAAGUUAUGACAAGUUGGACAUUUAGUAUCUUGUUCUGCAGAGAAAUAUAAUGUAAUGUUUUGAUGUUAGUUGGUCAUCAGUCUA